AUUGAACGCUGGCGGCAGGCCUAACACAUGCAAGUCGAACGGUAGCACAAAGAGCUUGCUCUCGGGUGACGAGUGGCGGACGGGUGAGUAAUGUCUGGGAAACUGCCCGAUGGAGGGGGAUAACUACUGGAAACGGUAGCUAAUACCGCAUAACGUCUUCGGACCAAAGUGGGGGACCUUCGGGCCUCACACCAUCGGAUGUGCCCAGAUGGGAUUAGCUAGUAGGUGGGGUAAUGGCUCACCUAGGCGACGAUCCCUAGCUGGUCUGAGAGGAUGACCAGCCACACUGGAACUGAGACACGGUCCAGACUCCUACGGGAGGCAGCAGUGGGGAAUAUUGCACAAUGGGCGCAAGCCUGAUGCAGCCAUGCCGCGUGUAUGAAGAAGGCCUUCGGGUUGUAAAGUACUUUCAGCGGGGAGGAAGGCGAUGGAGUUAAUAGCUUCAUCGAUUGACGUUACCCGCAGAAGAAGCACCGGCUAACUCCGUGCCAGCAGCCGCCGUAA
Molecule: ribosomal RNA, 504 nt
Filed under: uncultured bacterium
Lineage: Bacteria
Description: partial 16S ribosomal RNA
Rfam family: Bacterial small subunit ribosomal RNA
Source: RNAcentral